Molecule: ribosomal RNA, 459 nt
Filed under: uncultured bacterium
Lineage: Bacteria
Description: partial 16S ribosomal RNA
Rfam family: Bacterial small subunit ribosomal RNA
Source: RNAcentral
CCUACGGGAGGCUGCAGUGAGGAAUAUUGGUCAAUGGCCGGAAGGCUGAACCAGCCAAGUAGCGUGCAGGAUGACGGCCCUACGGGUUGUAAACUGCUUUUAUACGGGAAUAACGCGCCUUACGUGUGGUUCUUUGCAUGUACCGGAUGAAAAAGCAUCGGCUAAUUCCGUGCCAGCAGCCGCGGUAAUACGGAGGGUGCGGGCGUUAUCCGGAUUUAUUGGGUUAAAAGGGGGCGCAGGCGGAGGUGCAAGUCUGCGGUAAAAUUGCGGGGCUCAACCCCGUCCUGCCGUGGAAACUUCAGUCCUUGAGUGCGCGAAAAGCAGGCGGAAUGCGUGGUGUAGCGGUGAAAUGCAUAGAUAUGACGAAGAACCCCGAUUGCGAAGGCAGCAUGCUGCAGCGCAACUGACGCUGAUGCACGAAAGCGCGGGUAUCGAACAGGAUUAGAUACCCGUGUAGUC